Molecule: transfer RNA, 75 nt
Filed under: Candidatus Woesearchaeota archaeon
Lineage: Archaea; Nanobdellati; Candidatus Woesearchaeota
Description: tRNA-Asp
Rfam family: tRNA
About the family: Transfer RNA (tRNA) molecules are approximately 80 nucleotides in length. Their secondary structure includes four short double-helical elements and three loops (D, anti-codon, and T loops).
Source: RNAcentral
GCCUCAGUAGUGUAGCCCGGUCUAGCACGCAGCCCUGUCGAGGCUGCCACCCGAGUUCAAAUCUCGGCUGAGGCG